AUGUCUAGCAGGGGAGGCUUCUCAGCUCUUACCGCUUGGGAUGGCUGUUUUCUUAUCUCAGAUGGAGUCCUGUCAUAUGAUCACCAGUGAAUGUCUGUAAGGUCUGUCUUGGUAAUGAUUAACCAAGCUGACCUGCCUGUUUCCUUAGCAGUCUCUGAUGUGGACGGCUUGAAUAUUUCUUUUUAUUUCCUGGUUUGCACUGGUUUCAGUUUUCAGGGGGAAACCUUGGCUCACCCAAGGCCAGCAGACGCCCUCACCUGGAGAGCACCUGUGGCUUCUGCCCUCCCUCACACCCAGGUAUGCAGUGAGAUGCUAUAAAAAGAACAUGACCCAACAUGGAAGAUAUUGUCUUUAUGAACUGGAAGAAAGGCGAUAGGAAGUACCCCACAGCAACCUCAGGAUGUGCACUUACAUCUUUUCCAUACCAAAACGCUUUAAACCUCAUCAGAAUUCCUCCUCGACCUGAGAACAGCAUGUGGCUCAACACAACAACAUAGCCCCAAGGCACAUCACUCUCAGUGUCCAGUAUACUCAGCAAUGAACACAUACAGAAGAAAAUAUUUCUUAAAUAGAAGGUCAAACACUCCUUAAGGAAGAUGACUUUUUGUUAAAAGAAGACAAAAACAUUGAUCUCUCUACUUGUCAUGUAGAAUUUGAUCUUGAAAAUCCUAACAUGGUGAUGUUGGCGGGAUCAAGUGUAGCCUGAUGAAGUUUGCAGAUAAGACCAAACAGAGCGGGGAAGCAGACACUCCAGAAGGGAGAGCUGCUCUACAGGAAGAUCUGGAUAGGCUGGAAGAGUGGGCCAGCAAGAACUUUAUGAAGUUCAGCAAGGACAAGUGUAAGGUCUUGCACCUGGGAAAACAUAAUCCUGGAGUCCAGCACAGACUGGGAUCCACCUCGCUGGACACCAGCUCUGUCGAAAGGGACCUGGGGGUCCUGGUGGACAGGAAGCUCAACAUGAGUGAACAGUGGGCUGCUGCAGCCAAGAAGGCCAACAGGAUGUUGGGUUGCAUCAAAAAGGGCAUCACCAGCAGAGAUGAAGAAGUCAUUAUCCUACUCUACUCAGCACUUGUCAUGCCACACCUGGAGUACUGUGUACAGUUCUGGCCCCCUCCAUACAAAAAGGAUGUGGACAGGCUGGAAAGGAUCCAGAGAAGGGCCACCAAGACGACCAAAGGAGUGAGAAGCCUGCCAUAUGAGGAUAGGCUGGGAGAACUGGGUUUGUUCAGCCUUGAGAAAAGGAGGCUCAGAGGGGAUCUCAUCACCGUGUACCAGUACUUAAGGGGUAGCUACAAAGAAGAUGGAGAUUCCCUUUUUACACGGAGUCACAUAGAGAGGACAAGGGGGAAUGGACACAAGUUGCUCCUGGGGAGAUUCUGAUUGGACACCAGAGGGAAAUUUUUCACAUUGAGGACAGUCAAGCAUUGGAAUAAUCUCCCCAGGGAAGUGGUUGACUCGGCCCACAUUGGACACUUUUAAGAUUUGGCUGGACAGGGUGCUGGGCCAUCUUGUCUAGUCUGCGCUCUUCCUAGAAAGGUUAGACUAGAUGAUCCCUGAGGUCCCUUCCAACCUGGGAUUCUGUGAUUGUAAUGAAUUAAGUAACUUGUAUGUUACUUUGAAAGCACAAAUUGCUGUGUUACAUUACUGUGGCUUCAUUCUUUCUGUACUCAGCCCUAGCAGGGCCAAAACUGGA
Molecule: non-coding RNA, 1693 nt
Organism: Phalacrocorax carbo (great cormorant)
Lineage: Eukaryota; Metazoa; Chordata; Aves; Suliformes; Phalacrocoracidae
Source: RefSeq, a predicted model, not a curated record